Molecule: unclassified non-coding RNA, 480 nt
Filed under: rhizosphere metagenome
Description: partial ribosomal RNA internal transcribed spacer region
Source: RNAcentral
GUAGAUGGCUGAAGCUCGGUAAGUUGCCUUCUUUAACCUAUAUGAAGCCUUGAAGCACCAGUCCAGCAGCAUAGCUGCCGGGCAACACUUGUCUGUUGCUGGCGUCUCAUUUAGAGUACCAGCAGUCGUUAUUGCGAUUCACAGAUCAAACGCAAGUGGUACUCUUUAACUCUCCUGAACGAAAGUACUUUUAAAGAGCAUUUUGAUAUGAUCGGUCCUUCUUUUAACUAAGACGGAUUAUACGUUCCGUAGGUGAACCUGCGGAAGGAUCAUUACCGAGUUAGGGUCUUAUAGGCCCGACCUCCAACCCUUUGUUUACUAUACCAUGUUGCUUUGGCGGGCCCGCCUUUCGGGGCCGCCGGGGGCUUUCACGCCCCUGGUCAGUGCCUGCCAGUAGCCUUAUUAAAUUCUUUUGUAAUUAUGUUGUCUGAGUAUAAAUAUGAAUCGUUAAAACUUUCAACAACGGAUCUCUUGGUUCUG